RNAcentral lists this long non-coding RNA (245 nucleotides) under Capsicum annuum. RNAcentral's name for it is "long non-coding RNA (CANN_LNC015213)". The record is from RNAcentral. Lineage: Eukaryota; Viridiplantae; Streptophyta; Magnoliopsida; Solanales; Solanaceae.
UUGAGUGGAAACUGAACAGUGGAGUGAAAACUAAGGCAUGAAAUCAACCAAGAACAAUACAUCGAACCAUAAGCAACACACAAGAUGAAGACAAUAAGUGGAUAAUUAACCGACGAGAUCAAGGUUUAAACAACAGAUUUCCAAAGCCAAGGACGUAAAGUGAAGCUAAAAUCAUGUCAAACAAUUCAGACAACGAUUAACCUAACGCAACAAGAAUCAUUAAAUCUAGAGGGGCUACUAAAAGG